CUUCUGCCAUGAUGAUAAUGGACUGAACCUCUGAACUAACAGGGCUUGGCACAGAGUUGCUGCUCAGAAGCCACCGGGAGCUAGCUGACUGACAGACACUCGUGGCUGUCGUGAGGUUUAAACACACACCAGAGUGUAUUCAAGCCACCACUCUGGAGUUCACGGUAAAGCUAAACACUUACUGCCGUGACAGCAGUGUUCCUCCUGGGUAGACACACGAGAGAAACGACCGCACACAUCUGAAGGAGGUCGGGCACACAUCUGAACGCAUGCAGCGGCCUGGUGACCGCAGCCAAGGCCAUCAAGAAGAGACCAGACUUGCACCGAUGUGCUCUCUUCCAUUUGUACAUAGAAAAGCCACUCGGCAAGAAGAGCUUCUGUGCUGAUACGCCCAGGUUGGAUGACACUCGUGGGCAAUACGUCGAUCAAAGGAUUCCAGAAUUUUUCAUGUCAGAGAAGAAAAUGUGUUCUGACCUCAUGGUUGCCAGAGGACACUGUGUGUGGCUUUCUCGUGAUUCUCCCACUCGGGUAUUGGUGGAUCCCUUCCUGGAAUAUAAACUGAACACCGGACUUAAUGUAGGCAGGACCAAUGUCUACAAAGCAUUUACUCCUUUACUGAGCUAUGAAGGUUUGAGAAAGAUAUUUGACUCGCUAAAUCAGGGGUUCUCAACCUUCCUAAGGCUGCAACUCUUUAAUACAGUUCCUCAUGUUGUGGUA
Molecule: long non-coding RNA, 717 nt
Organism: Peromyscus leucopus (white-footed mouse)
Lineage: Eukaryota; Metazoa; Chordata; Mammalia; Rodentia; Cricetidae
Exons: 3
Source: RefSeq, a predicted model, not a curated record